RNAcentral lists this long non-coding RNA (1661 nucleotides) under Homo sapiens (human). Its description in RNAcentral is "non-protein coding lnc-AKAP12-1:2". The record is from RNAcentral. Lineage: Eukaryota; Metazoa; Chordata; Mammalia; Primates; Hominidae.
AUAGAAGUGUCCCUCCUAAAAAUCUGAGUUUGAUUUAGAAAUCCAGUUAUACCUGCAGGUACUGAUGACUAAUUCCUUCUUUGAAGACAAAAUAAGCAGCUGUGUAGCUUCAGUGGCUCUCAAAUGGAUAAUAGAUUCAGUGUAUACUCGCUUUGAACUUUCCUGUUUUUUGAUCAGCUAGAUAAAUGACUUUAGUGGGUAAAUGUCUGCCUCCAAAACCAAAUUCUGACCCUGAUCUAAGUAUUCUACUGCACCGCUGUCACUGGAAUAUCAAAGUUGGCCUUCAGACUGGUGCCUGGUUCCUUGGAUUGGCUUGAGUAUUGAGGUCUGUCUCAUCUUACUAGGGAACUAAAAUGAUGUUGAUUGUUUUGUAGAGAAUUGUAAUUAGAGAUCUGUAGGUUCUUAAUUCUUUUGGAAUUCCAUUCUGAAAAUUUUCAACCUUAUGGUGUUGGUGGAGUGCUCAUGUGAAGAGUGAAACUGACUUAAGAAUAAAAGAAAAAGUGGGCAAAACUAAUGCUAAACUUGAGACCAUUGGGCAGAAAUUUGCCUGUGUGUGUAGAGUAAUUGGUCUUGAGUCAAAGUAACUAUGCUUAUUUUUAACAUCACUGAAUAUUUUCUAGCGUUACACUCUAUAUAGGCUUGUAGAAAUAAACCCAGGGGUAAGCCCAGAAAUUGAAUAUCAGUCCUAAAGAAAGCCUAUCAAGAGCAUCCUAUUCUCUUUAAGAGCUGCUAUUCGAAUUUAGGACUGGGCUGGUUUGCUGCUCAUUCUCUCGAGGCAUAGGCAGCCACACUUGAAUUUUGCCAAGUAUGCAGAUAAUUCCAACUUGUAGUCAGGAUCAUCAGGUAAUAGCAUUAUAAGGGGAGCUGUACAGACUGUAUACUUUCUACAGUUUGUAAGUUUAUAGAAAAUGCUUGUUUUAUAGUUGGUUGUUAUUGAGAUGAGAGUCCCUCAAGGAACUCCCUAUGCUUUAGGGAGCUUUUUGUUUUAAACCUACUGGUUAGACUUGUGGGUUUUAAUGUUUUCAGCUGUGGUUGUAAGAAACACAUUUUAAAUUGCACCUAGUAUAGACAUACAUGUAAAACAAACAAAAUUUUUACGAAGUAGUACUUGUAUUAAGAGUGAUGUACUCUGCUAUCUUCUAUUUCAUUUUUUUAAAGUUGAUAUUGCUGCCUUAAAUUGAUUUUUUCAACCACUAAUGAGUCAGGACCCACUAUUUAAAAAAUACUGGUGUGUUCUCUUGCUGUUACGAAUUAACCCAAAACUUAGUGGUUUAAAGCAAUAAACUUGUGUUUAUCUCAUGUAGGUUCUGUGGGUCAGGAAUCUGGGAGUAGCUUACUUAGGUGGUUCUGGGUCAGGGUUUUUCAUGAGGUUCCAAGGUGGCUCUCAUUUGGCAAGUCAGCUAUGGCUGAUGGUGGAAGUUCUUCAUUGGACUGCUUGAGUGUCCUCAAGCAGUGGCGAAGGCUAGCUACCCGCAGAGUAGGUGAUUCAAGCAAGAGCAGAGAGGAGGCCACACACCAUCACUUCUGCCAUAUUCUAUUAAAAAGAAGUCACUUAAGUCCAGCCCAAACUCAGGGGAUGAGUAUCAAAGAAUUAUGGACAUAGUUUAAUAGCUGCCACAUUUAUAUGUUUUUCCACUUUAUAUUUUAUUUAUUUAUUUAUU